Molecule: unclassified non-coding RNA, 248 nt
Filed under: rhizosphere metagenome
Description: partial ribosomal RNA internal transcribed spacer region
Source: RNAcentral
GUAGGUGAACCUGCGGAAGGAUCAUUACAGAGCGUGAGACUCUGCCCGGGCGCGUCCCGCGCGCAGAGUUGACCCUCCACCCGUGUUGACUUAUUUCAUGUUGCUUUGGCGGGCCCGGUGCUUUGCGCCGACCGGCUUCGUGCUGGCUCGUGUCCGCCAGAGACCCAACCUAACUCGUGUUGUCGUGUCGUCUGAAGUAGAAUGAUAUUGAAUUGUUAAAACUUUCAACAACGGAUCUCUUGGCUCUG